UAUUAGGAUAGUACAAAAGUAAUUGCAGUUUUUGCAAUUACUUUCAAUGGCAAAAACUGCAAUCACUUUUGCACCAACCUAAUAAA
MicroRNA precursor from Cercocebus atys (sooty mangabey), 86 nucleotides. Lineage: Eukaryota; Metazoa; Chordata; Mammalia; Primates; Cercopithecidae. The record is from Ensembl.